UUUGUCUAGAUAACUUUUAGAGAUAGCGCACAUUAGAGACACGACAGUUUUUAGACAAUCUUGUUUCACAUAGACGAGUCGGACUUUACGAUUAAAGAGAAACAGUUGUGUCUACCACGCGGCGCAU
Molecule: long non-coding RNA, 127 nt
Organism: Aricia agestis (brown argus)
Lineage: Eukaryota; Metazoa; Arthropoda; Insecta; Lepidoptera; Lycaenidae
Exons: 3
Source: RefSeq, a predicted model, not a curated record